This 148-nucleotide non-coding RNA is filed under the name Nomascus leucogenys (northern white-cheeked gibbon). Lineage: Eukaryota; Metazoa; Chordata; Mammalia; Primates; Hylobatidae. The record is from Rfam by way of RNAcentral.
GCUGGGUGUGGUGGUGCACACCUGUAAUCCCAGCUACUCAGGAGACUGAGGCAGGAGAAUCGCUUGAAUCCAGGAGCUGGAGGUUGCAGUGAGCAGAGAUCGCGCCACUGCACUCCAGCCUGGGUGACAGAGCGAGACUCCAUCUCAA